This is a long non-coding RNA of Raphanus sativus (radish), 1220 nucleotides long. RefSeq lists it as uncharacterized. The record is from RefSeq and is a predicted model, not a curated record. NCBI's taxonomy places the organism in Eukaryota, Viridiplantae, Streptophyta, Magnoliopsida, Brassicales, Brassicaceae. The transcript is spliced from 2 exons.
UGACAAGGAAUAAUAUUUUUCUUUUCAUUCCUCUAAUUUUUUUCCUCUGCAUUUUUUUCUACUUAUUCAUAAUGUUCCUCUAACAAGCUUCUUCGUCUGUUCUUCAUCUCUUCUUCUCCGUUUACUGACUCUUGCCGCUUCCUCAUGGCUGGAGUCGGGUUUAGAUUAUUGUUUUUUCCGUUUGCUUGCAUGUUUGAUUUUGGAGGUGUUAAGCUAAAGCUCCAGAUCUGUUCAGAUUUAGCUUGUUUUGAGGUCAUAGCCCCGAAUCUGCAAGAUUAACGGCUUGGUCUUGUGUCUUCUAAGUUGCAUGCACCUUAUCUCUACUGGUGGUGUUUUUGGUCAAAUCUGAUAUUGGCGGAAGUGGUCCAGUUCGCUCCUUGUCUUCACUCCAGAGUGCUUAUUCACACUGGAGGUGUCUAGUUCGUCGCCUCUUCUUCAAAGAACGGCUUGGAAUAUUGGUGUUAUGUUGCUUAGGAGCAUUUCUUCCUUUUUGUCUUUGUUUUCGGCUCUUAAUCUUUUUUUUUAUUUCUCCAUCAUUAUCAUUAUGUUUUAGUUUAAGUUUGCGUUAAUAUGCUUCCUUUGUUUGGGUUUUGGCUCUGGAGAACUUGUUCUGCCGGCUUAGACUUCGGGUUAUUCUGGCGUGGUUUUAUCAGAUGAUGUAUCUCUCUGUUAAUGUUGGUUGUUUAAUUGAAGUAUCUUUCAGUGUUAAAAAAAAACUAAGGUCGGUUCUUGGGUUCUAGCAUCAAUCCUGACUGGUCCAGGACUACUGCUAGCCUUCAACGUAACAGACUCACCAAGUUGGACGCGCGGCUUGUCAAAAUGACGUUCCAGGCAUCGAUCUACUGGAUUUGGAGGGAGAGAAACGGGUGACGUCAUCAUCACCCCCCAAACUCUGUGGUCUAUAUUGCUCGUACUGUCCACCGAGAAUUGCAGAGUCGUCUUCGGGCACUACAUCAAGGAAGUACUGAAGAUGAUAAUGAAGGGCUGAGAAGAUGGAACACUAUGACAGUGCUGCCUUAGUACAGCAUGUUGAUACUCUUCCUCUAUUUUUUUACACAAUAGUCUUUGUUGUUCUCUAAGCAAAAGUAGAGCGUUCUUGUGCUCGACACUCAUAUCUACCUUCCUGUGUCUUUUGAUCCCUUAGUUUAGGAUCACAAGAUUGUACAAUUCUUUUUGUUGUUAUAAAGUUCACAUUUCAACAAAAAAAAAUUAAGAUGACU